This 492-nucleotide ribosomal RNA is filed under the name uncultured bacterium. RNAcentral's name for it is "partial 16S ribosomal RNA". It matches the Rfam family "Bacterial small subunit ribosomal RNA", at positions 29 to 507 of the family's 1533-position model. The record is from RNAcentral.
AGUGGACGCUGGCGGUAGGCCUAACACAUGCAAGUCGAACGGCAGCACAGUAAGAGCUUGCUCUUACGGGUGGCGAGUGGCGGACGGGUGAGGAAUACAUCGGAAUCUACUUUUUCGUGGGGGAUAACGUAGGGAAACUUACGCUAAUACCGCAUACGACCUACGGGUGAAAGCAGGGGAUCUUCGGACCUUGCGCGAUUGAAUGAGCCGAUGUCGGAUUAGCUAGUUGGCGGGGUAAAGGCCCACCAAGGCGAGGAUCCGUAGCUGGUCUGAGAGGAUGGUCAGCCACACUGGAAGUGAGACACGGUCCAGACUCCUACGGGAGGCAGCAGUGGGGAAUAUUGGACAAUGGGCGCAAGCAUGAUCCAGCCAUACCGCGUGGGUGAAGAAGGCCUUCGGGUUGUAAAGCCCUUUUGUUGGGAAAGAAAAGCAGCAGGUUAAUACCCCGCUGUUCUGACGGUACCCAAAGAAUAAGCACCGGCUAACUUCGUG